UACAGAGGGUGCAAGCGUUGCUCGGAAUUAUUGGGCGUAAAGGGUAGGUAGGUGGUCUCAUUUGUCCGGGGUGAAAGCCUUGAGCUUAACUCAAGAAGUGCCCCGGAAACGGUGAGACUGGAGUCUUGGAGAGGGUCGUGGAAUUCCCGGUGUAGCGGUGAAAUGCGUAGAUAUCAGGAAGAACACCCGUGGCUAAGGCGGUGCUCUAGUACGGUACUGACGCUGAGACGCGAAAGCGUGGGGAGCGAACAGG
RNAcentral lists this ribosomal RNA (253 nucleotides) under uncultured bacterium. RNAcentral describes it as "partial 16S ribosomal RNA". It matches the Rfam family "Bacterial small subunit ribosomal RNA", at positions 524 to 776 of the family's 1533-position model. The record is from RNAcentral.